AACUAUUUUUCUCCCCAACAGUUGACAACUGUAACGUAUAUCCGUACGAUGUAGCAACAUGUGAUCCACUGGUAUACAAUUACUUCAAGUGCGCGUGGAAAUCAAAUGGAGCCCUGAAGCCUGACAACACAGUGGACGAUGUGGCCUUCCAGAAGAUUUUGUUGCAGAACAAAUGCAGCAAAGACACCAACUUCGCAAAGGCUUACCCGACAUGCAAGAGCUCAACCAUGAAGUAUUUGAACGCGUUGCAAUUCAUCGCGUGUCUCGAUAAAGCCGUGCCCUAAGCAGCUCACUCAGUGGAGGAAAACCUACUGACACGGAACAAGACUGACUGAACUCGCCUUCACUCUUUCGGGAUUUUUUUAUAUUUUUUGGUGCAC
Long non-coding RNA from Hyalella azteca, 380 nucleotides. RefSeq lists it as uncharacterized. The transcript has 3 exons. Lineage: Eukaryota; Metazoa; Arthropoda; Malacostraca; Amphipoda; Hyalellidae. The record is from RefSeq and is a predicted model, not a curated record.